Molecule: ribosomal RNA, 450 nt
Filed under: uncultured bacterium
Lineage: Bacteria
Description: partial 16S ribosomal RNA
Rfam family: Bacterial small subunit ribosomal RNA
Source: RNAcentral
GUGGGGAAUAUUGGACAAUGGGCGCAAGCCUGAUCCAGCAAUGCCGCGUGGGUGAAGAAGGCCUUCGGGUUGUAAAGCCCUUUUGUACGGAAAGAAAUCCUGGUGGUUAAUACCCGCCGGGGAUGACGGUACCGUAAGAAUAAGCACCGGCUAACUUCGUGCCAGCAGCCGCGGUAAUACGAAGGGUGCAAGCGUUAAUCGGAAUUACUGGGCGUAAAGCGUGCGUAGGUGGUUUCUUAAGUCUGUCGUGAAAGCCCUGAGCUCAACAUGGGAAUGGUGAUGGAUACUGGGGAGCUAGAGUGCGGUAGAGGAUGGCGGAAUUCCGCGUGUAGCGGUGAAAUGCGUAGAGAUCGGGAGGAACAUCUGUGGCGAAGUCGGCCAUCUGGACCAGCACUGACACUGAGGCACGAAAGCGUGGGGAGCAAACAGGAUUAGAUACCCCAGUAGUCC